UACGGGGGGGGCAAGCGUUGUUCGGAAUUACUGGGCGUAAAGGGCUCGUAGGCGGCCAACUAAGUCGGACGUGAAAUCCCCAGGCUCAACCUGGGAACUGCGUCCGAUACUGGAUGGCUUGAAUUCGGGAGAGGGAUGCAGAAUUCCAGGUGUAACGGUGAAAUGCGUAGAUAUCUGGAGGAAUACCGGUGGCGAAGGCGGCAUCCUGGACCGACAUUGACGCUGAUGAGCGAAAGCCAGGGGAGCAAACGGG
Molecule: ribosomal RNA, 253 nt
Filed under: uncultured bacterium
Lineage: Bacteria
Description: partial 16S ribosomal RNA
Rfam family: Bacterial small subunit ribosomal RNA
Source: RNAcentral